RNAcentral lists this ribosomal RNA (765 nucleotides) under uncultured Streptococcus sp. RNAcentral's name for it is "bacterial SSU rRNA". It matches the Rfam family "Bacterial small subunit ribosomal RNA", at positions 28 to 776 of the family's 1533-position model. Lineage: Bacteria; Bacillati; Bacillota; Bacilli; Lactobacillales; Streptococcaceae. The record is from RNAcentral.
GAUGAACGCUGGCGGCGUGCAUAAUACAUGCAAGUAGAACGAUGAAGCUCGGUGCUUGCACCGAGCGGAUGAGUUGCGAACGGGUGAGUAACGCGUAGGUAACCUGCCUCUUCGCGGGGGAUAACUAUUGGAAACGAUAGCUAAUACCGCAUAAAAGACGAUAUCGCAUGAUAUUGAUUUGAAAGGUGCAAUUGCAUCACUAAGAGAUGGACCUGCGUUGUAUUAGCUAGUUGGUGAGGUAACGGCUCACCAAGGCAACGAUACAUAGCCGACCUGAGAGGGUGAUCGGCCACACUGGGACUGAGACACGGCCCAGACUCCUACGGGAGGCAGCAGUAGGGAAUCUUCGGCAAUGGGGGCAACCCUGACCGAGCAACGCCGCGUGAGUGAAGAAGGUUUUCGGAUCGUAAAGCUCUGUUGUAAGAGAAGAACGAGUGUGAGAGUGGAAAGUUCACACUGUGACGGUAACUUACCAGAAAGGGACGGCUAACUACGUGCCAGCAGCCGCGGUAAUACGUAGGUCCCGAGCGUUAUCCGGAUUUAUUGGGCGUAAAGCGAGCGCAGGCGGUUAGAUAAGUCUGAAGUUAAAGGCUGUGGCUUAACCAUAGUACGCUUUGGAAACUGUUUAACUUGAGUGCAGAAGGGGAGAGUGGAAUUCCAUGUGUAGCGGUGAAAUGCGUAGAUAUAUGGAGGAACACCGGUGGCGAAAGCGGCUCUCUGGUCUGUAACUGACGCUGAGGCUCGAAAGCGUGGGGAGCAAACAGG